ACUCCUUCGCUUCCAUUAUCACCAUCUUCUUCGUUUUGUCCUCUCUUGUGAGGAUGUGGUCAUUUUGCCUCAACCAUUCUGUUGUCUUCCGGACUCGUGCCCGUUCUUGCCUCUUCUCCUGGCGUUUGCCCUUGUCGCCGGUUCUCAUGCGCUGUCUGGGGUGCUCCCAUCUUGGACUCUCUUUGUCUGGCUCAUUGCGAUCUUUAAUCGGGGUCUCUAUAACCGGAAUGUCAUGCUGGAUAUCUAAGGUUGCAGGUAGGGCAUAGGAAGGGCCUUUCUCUAUCACUUUUUUAACAUAUUCAGGGAGCUGUAUAUCACCAAUUAUUGUGAGGACAUCCUCAACUUUAAAUUUCCGUAUUUCCUUUCUCACCAGUUGUUUUCUAAUUAUCCACUU
RNAcentral lists this long non-coding RNA (394 nucleotides) under Androctonus crassicauda. The record is from RNAcentral. Lineage: Eukaryota; Metazoa; Arthropoda; Arachnida; Scorpiones; Buthidae.